GACAGAGGGGGCAAGCGUUGCUCGGAAUUACUGGGCGUAAAGGGCGCGUAGGCGGAAUGGCAAGUCGGUCGUGAAAUCCUUCGGCUCAACCGAAGAACGUCGAUCGAAACUGCCGUUCUUGAGGACUGCAGAGGAGACUGGAAUUCCCGGUGUAGCGGUGAAAUGUGUAGAGAUCGGGAGGAACACCGGUGGCGAAGGCGGGUCUCUGGGCAAUUCCUGACGCUGAGGCGCGAAAGCGUGGGGAGCAAACGGG
RNAcentral lists this ribosomal RNA (253 nucleotides) under uncultured bacterium. RNAcentral describes it as "partial 16S ribosomal RNA". It matches the Rfam family "Bacterial small subunit ribosomal RNA", at positions 524 to 776 of the family's 1533-position model. The record is from RNAcentral.